GUCUCUGUUAGAGAACUGACUAGGAAAAGAUGCCCCAUUCAAAAGGGUUUAACUGGAGAGAGUUUUAGGAAAGGCCUAUUCACAGAGGAGUAGGCAAGUUAAGGGAAUUGACAAGAAAUGGUGAAGAAGGAAGAAUAUAGGAAGGUGAGAAACUAUCACCACCAUCAGCCAGAAGAGGCAGGGGAGAGAAUGAGGUCACUGGAGCCCAAGUGAAGAGCUAGAACCAUGAGAGGAGCAUAACCUGCUGUGCUAGUGAGCUUUUUGUUGCUGUGACCAAAUACUGAGAAAAAUAACUUAGAGAAGAAGGAUUUAUUUUUGGUCACAGUUUCAGAGGUUUCAGUCAACAAUCACCUGAUCAUUGGUGUGGGCCUGAGGUGAGGCAGAACGUCAUGGUGGAAGGACAUGACAGAGGACAGCUGCUCACCUCAGAGCAGCUGCCAAACAGAGACAAAGAGAAUGAGCCAGAGAAAAAACAGCCAGGGCCAAGAUAUAGUCCCCAAUAGUCCAUCAUUCACUCCCUUUAACCAGGCCUCACAUCCAAAGUUUCCUUACCUCCCAAUAAUGUCGUUAAUUAUGAUCUCAUCAAUGGAUUAAUCCACUAAUGAAGCCCUCAUGUUCUAAGCACCUACCAAAGAGCUCACCUCUGAAGAUAUGAGAUUUGGGGGGCACAAUUUAGAUCUAAACUGUAACAUACACCAAAAGCUGUCGCCACAGGAGAAGCCAGUCAUUGCCAGAACUGUGGUAAAUCAGAGAGGAUUAAGGGGGAAUACAUCCAUCAAACUCUCCAGUAUUUGGCUAGGGCCUUUCAUUGACUUAAAGCAAUUUGCAGCUGUUUGACUUUCACAAUAGGGAAAAAAAUGAGUUGUCAGGAUAAAGAAGAUAGUAUAAUGACCAUGACCACCCCACAUCGCCUUUCUUUCAUCACCCUGCCCUCACCUGCUCACAUCUUCAACAUUCUCACCCUUGCCCUACUGGCCUUGCAAAACCUAACUCUGCCUUCUCUAUACUUGCAGGAGGGUAUGACUGUAGAAAAUUCUGUGCUCUGUUUACUUGAGAUUUCUGUCCAAAAAUCUCAAGUGAGCCCACUGUCUGAUUACAUUCCUCUAAUCACCCUCUGUGACAGCUGACUGAUUGUAUCAACUUGAGUAAGAAAUGCCCAACUAAAUUGGCUCAGCAUAGUUCUGGGUGUGGAAGACUCACCCGAAAUUGGAUUGUCACCAGAAUGUUGUUAAAGGGAAAUGAAGAAGGAAGGAUCGCUUCUGUUUCCUUCAGAAGUGCGCCAGUCUUCACUUUGACCUUAGAUGCUGUCUCCUGGCUUCCAGAGCAGACCCUUCAGCCUCCAGCAUGGACCCUUCGGCCUCCUGAUAUGGACUUGCACUUGCCUUCGACUGCAUCCUUCAGAUUCCCAGUGCGCAGAUGGACCUUUUGCACUCUUCCACAUUCGACUCUGUGGGCAGCCAUUGGAAGCCAAUUUUGCCACUGUUGGGUGAGCAGCUUUGCUCCACAAGCUCCCCACCAUGAUGUUCUGCCUUGCUACAGGCCCACAGCUAUGGGGUAAACAUCCAUGGACUAAAACCUUAAAACCAUGAGCC
Molecule: long non-coding RNA, 1592 nt
Organism: Heterocephalus glaber (naked mole-rat)
Lineage: Eukaryota; Metazoa; Chordata; Mammalia; Rodentia; Bathyergidae
Source: Ensembl